GUACGCUGGCGGCACGCCUAACACAUGCAAGUCGAACGCAGUAGCAAUACUGAGUGGCAAACGGGUGAGUAUAAUGUGGGAAUCUGCCUUUUGGUUUGGAAUAACACGGGGAAACUUGUGCUAAUACCGAAUAAGCCCUUACGGGGAAAGUUUUAACGCCGAAAGAUGAGCCUGCACUUGAUUAGCUAGUUGGUAAGGUAAAAGCUUACCAAGGCAACGAUCAAUAGCUGUUCUUAGAGGAAGACCAGCCACAUUGGGACUGAGACACGGCCCAGACUCCUACGGGAGGCAGCAGUGGGGAAUCUUGCACAAUGGGGGAAACCCUGAUGCAGCGAUGCCGCGUGAGUGAAGAAGGCCUUUGGGUUGUAAAACUCUUUCGUCGGGGAAGAAAAUGACUGUACCCGAAUAAGAAGGUCCGG
RNAcentral lists this ribosomal RNA (419 nucleotides) under uncultured bacterium. Its description in RNAcentral is "bacterial SSU rRNA". It matches the Rfam family "Bacterial small subunit ribosomal RNA", at positions 31 to 496 of the family's 1533-position model. The record is from RNAcentral.